CUCACCCAGAUCUCUCUCACGAAGACUCUCUCCUGCCCAGUGAAACUCAUUUGCUAUCUCACUUCUCUCCUGCGUCUCCAUCUCCCCUCCCUCGUGUCUCCUUCUCCAUCUCCCCUGCCCAGUAAACCUGUCUUCCUUGCCCUCCGAUCACAACCCAGUUAUUCUCUAAGGAUCAACAAAGUCAAGUUUGGACACAUGCGCUAGAUUUUUUUUCAACUCUUUCGACUGCUCUUCACUCACAGGAGUCAACUUCAGAGGCUUUUCAUUAGGACUUCAGUGCGUUUUGAUUGGUAGAGGAUAUGAGACAAAUUUGUGUCAGUUAUUACUUGUUUUGUAAUUUUGAAAUCUUGGGAUUUUAUUGAACCUAUUUUUGUAACUCUUUGUUAAUGUAAGCACUCGUGGUUUUCCUCAAUUGAUGUAAGCGCUCGUGAUUUUUGUAAA
Long non-coding RNA from Juglans regia (Persian walnut), 441 nucleotides. RefSeq lists it as uncharacterized. The record is from RefSeq and is a predicted model, not a curated record. Lineage: Eukaryota; Viridiplantae; Streptophyta; Magnoliopsida; Fagales; Juglandaceae. The transcript is spliced from 3 exons.